Molecule: ribosomal RNA, 508 nt
Filed under: uncultured prokaryote
Description: bacterial SSU rRNA
Rfam family: Archaeal small subunit ribosomal RNA
Source: RNAcentral
AAGCGCGAUAAGGGGACCCCUUAGUGCCAGUACCUAGUACUGGCUGUCCCGCUGUCUAAAUAACAGUGGUUAGCAAGGGCCGGGCAAGACCGGUGCCAGCCGCCGCGGUAACACCGGCGGCCCGAGUGGUAGCCGUUAUUAUUGGGUUUAAAGGGUCCGUAGCCGGCUUAUUAAGUCUCUUGGGAAAUCUGGCGACUUAAUCGUCAGGCGUCCAAGAGAUACUGAUAGGCUUGGGACCGGGAGAGGUGGGAGGUACUCCAGGGGUAGGGGUGAAAUCUCGUAAUCCUUGGGGGACCACCGAUGGCGAAGGCAUCCCACCAGAACGGGUCCGACGGUGAGGGACGAAAGCUGGGGGCACGAACCGGAUUAGAUACCCGGGUAGUCCCAGCUGUAAACGAUGCUCGCUAGGUGUCAGAUGCGGUGCGACCGCAUCUGGUGCCGCAGUGAAAACUUGAAGCGAGUCACCUGGGAAGUACGGUCGCAAGGCUGAAACUUAAAGGAAUUGGCG